UUUUUUUUUUUUUUUUUUUUUUGCUAUGUAACAAAUUAAAACAACAUUUCUUGUCUUAUCUGCAAGUCAGGAUUUCAGAAGCAGCUUAGCUGGGUGGUCCAACUCAGGGCUCUCAUGAGGAUGCAGUCUACAUGUUGGCCAGGCCUGCAGUUACCCGAACGCUUCACUGGGGCUAGAGGAUCUACUUUACAAGCUCAUUUGUACAACUGUUAGCAAGAGGCUGCUGUUCCUUGCUGGCUGCUUGCCUGAGACCUCAGCUCUUCACUACCUGGGCCUUUUCUCAGGGUGUAGCAUCUGGCUUCCCCCAGAAGGAGUGAUGAAACAGACACUGAGACCGAAAGACCAAGACAGAAGCUGUGGUCCCUUUAUGAUCUAAUCCUGCGAGUGACAUACCAACAUUUCUGCUGCACUGUAUUUGUCACGCAGACUAACCCUAGUAUAGUGUGGGAGAGGACUGUAUAAGGGUGUGAAUACCCGGAGGUGGGGCUCUUUGAGGCCUCUUGGAGGCUGGCUACCCCCUGGUCACACCUCUGCAGUGCCAAUCAGUUUGCUUUCUGUAAUUUGUCCCAUGAAGUUAGAGUUCUAGACCAGACUUCUCAGAGUUGUUACUUUUCUUUUUCUAAACUGAAACUCAGUUUUCACUAUUACCUCUUUAUAAAAAAUAUGGUCUGUUUAGAAAUCUGAGAAAAAUAUUUCAUUAUAAAAUAUUCAUAAAAUUUUUGUUUUUUGUGAAAGUUAUCAUGACCAUUUGCAGUAAGAAGACCUGGUUGUGCUCUAAAGCUGAAAUGUCAUUUAAUUUCAGGUACAUUCAAGUAAACUUUGCAGAAAGAAAAUGGGUUUCAUUUAGCUGCUCAUUAGGGGGAGAAAAGUCUGUGAUAGGCUUUUAAUAAUACUGAAGUUUAAAAUGGACCUGGAAGACUACACUUCUGUUUCACAAUUCUUGCUGUUCUCCUCAGCUCUUUUUGAUAGAAGCAAAAUCAGCUUUCUAAGAUAGUGUUGUAUGUUUUUUACUGAGCAAUAUUCUGACUCGGUGUCCUCUAGCUCACUAGGUUCUUCCUGUAGUAAAGAGUUAUAAAAGUGAGGCUGGACGCGGUGGCUCAUGCCUGUAAUCCCAGCACUUUGGGAGGCCGAGGUGGGCAGAUCACGAGGUCAGGAGUUCGAGACCAGUCUCAUCAACAUGGUGAAAUCCCAUCUCUAAAAAAAAAAAAUAUACAAAAA
RNAcentral lists this long non-coding RNA (1218 nucleotides) under Homo sapiens (human). RNAcentral describes it as "novel transcript, sense intronic to NIN". The record is from RNAcentral. Lineage: Eukaryota; Metazoa; Chordata; Mammalia; Primates; Hominidae.